UAUUAUUUUUGAUGUUAAUUAUUUAACCUGAGUAGUAAUAGAUAUGGUCUUGAAACUUAAAGAAUUUGGCAGUAUUUUAUUCUGUUCAGAGGAACCUGUUCUUUUAUCGAUAAUCCUCGUUGGACCUUACUUGAUUUAUUGAUUUGUAUACCGCCGUUUUAUUGAGGAUCUUUAUAGUGUUUUAAUUUUCUAAAUUUUAUUUAAAAUUAUUUCAGGUCAAGGUGCAAUUUAUGAUUAAGUAGAAAUGGGUUACGUUUGUAUUUAUUUUUGGAUUAUUAAAUGAAAUUUUAACAUGAAAUUGGAUUUGAAUGUAAUUAUUAUUUUAGAUUGUAUUAAUGAUUUAGUUUCUAGAGUGUGUACACAUCGCCCGUCACUCUCGUUAUUUAUUCGAG
This 392-nucleotide ribosomal RNA is filed under the name Cryptocercus arcuatus. RNAcentral describes it as "partial 12S small subunit ribosomal RNA". Lineage: Eukaryota; Metazoa; Arthropoda; Insecta; Blattodea; Cryptocercidae. The record is from RNAcentral.